Molecule: long non-coding RNA, 426 nt
Organism: Mytilus trossulus (common blue mussel)
Lineage: Eukaryota; Metazoa; Mollusca; Bivalvia; Mytilida; Mytilidae
Exons: 2
Source: RefSeq, a predicted model, not a curated record
UUAUAAUAACUUUAUUCAUUAAACUUUGUGAAACAUAAUAAUAGCAAUUAUAUGCAGAGUGAUAUUUGAUACAGCCAGUCUGUUAAUCAAGCUCAUUCUGAUAAGGUUGACCAUAUGUUCGACAAAUUUCAAAGAUAGUUGCUAUGGUAAUUAAGUUUAUAGGAAAUCUGAAUGUAAUGGGAUGGUCACUUUUGUGAUUAUUUCCUGUUGUGUAUUUGUAAGAAAGAAGUGAUACGAAGAAAACAAAAAGAGAAAAUCAUGUCAUCUGAGAUUCAAAGAGAAAGAUAGUAACAUAGUCGGUUAGAAAAAAACAUAGCUGUAAAGAGUCUUCGGAUAAGGAGAUAGAUGAUGCAGCUAAAGAUUGGCGGCGCUUAAGCCUUGACAGAGAAGGUGGCAAGAAACAGAGAAGGGAAAAAAAGAAUAACA